AGCGAACGCUGGCGGCAGGCUUAACACAUGCAAGUCGAGCGGGCACUUUCGGGUGUCAGCGGCGGACGGGUGCGUAACGCGUGGGAACGUGCCCUCUGGUUCGGAAUAACUCAGGGAAACUUGAGCUAAUACCGGAUACGCCCUUUUGGGGAAAGGCUUGCUGCCGGAGGAUCGGCCCGCGUCUGAUUAGCUAGUUGGUGAGGUAACGGCUCACCAAGGCGACGAUCAGUAGCUGGUCUGAGAGGAUGAUCAGCCACACUGGGACUGAGACACGGCCCAGAUUCCUACGGGAGGCAGCAGUGGGGAAUAUUGGACAAUGGGCGCAAGCCUGAUCCAGCCAUGCCGCGUGAGUGAUGAAGGCCUUAGGGUUGUAAAGCUCUUUUAUCCGGGACGAUAAUGACGGUACCGGAGGAAUAAGCCCCGGCUAACUUCGUG
Molecule: ribosomal RNA, 435 nt
Filed under: uncultured bacterium
Lineage: Bacteria
Description: partial 16S ribosomal RNA
Rfam family: Bacterial small subunit ribosomal RNA
Source: RNAcentral